This 1194-nucleotide ribosomal RNA is filed under the name Vibrio parahaemolyticus. RNAcentral's name for it is "bacterial LSU rRNA". It matches the Rfam family "Bacterial large subunit ribosomal RNA", at positions 1757 to 2925 of the family's 2925-position model. Lineage: Bacteria; Pseudomonadati; Pseudomonadota; Gammaproteobacteria; Vibrionales; Vibrionaceae. The record is from RNAcentral.
GCGGAUGGAGCUGACGAGAGUCGCAGAUACCAGGUGGCUGCAACUGUUUAUUAAAAACACAGCACUGUGCAAAAUCGUAAGAUGACGUAUACGGUGUGACGCCUGCCCGGUGCCGGAAGGUUAAUUGAUGGGGUUAGACUUCGGUCGAAGCUCUUGAUCGAAGCCCCGGUAAACGGCGGCCGUAACUAUAACGGUCCUAAGGUAGCGAAAUUCCUUGUCGGGUAAGUUCCGACCUGCACGAAUGGCGUAAUGAUGGCCACGCUGUCUCCACCCGAGACUCAGUGAAAUUGAAAUCGCUGUGAAGAUGCAGUGUACCCGCGGCUAGACGGAAAGACCCCGUGAACCUUUACUACAGCUUGGCACUGAACAUUGACCCUACAUGUGUAGGAUAGGUGGGAGGCUUUGAAGCACGUACGCCAGUAUGUGUGGAGCCGUCCUUGAAAUACCACCCUUGUAGUGUUGAUGUUCUAACGUUGACCCCUAAUCGGGGUUGCGGACAGUGCCUGGUGGGUAGUUUGACUGGGGCGGUCUCCUCCCAAAGAGUAACGGAGGAGCACGAAGGUGGGCUAAUCACGGUUGGACAUCGUGAGGUUAGUGCAAUGGCAUAAGCCCGCUUGACUGCGAGAAUGACAAUUCGAGCAGGUGCGAAAGCAGGUCAUAGUGAUCCGGUGGUUCUGAAUGGAAGGGCCAUCGCUCAACGGAUAAAAGGUACUCCGGGGAUAACAGGCUGAUACCGCCCAAGAGUUCAUAUCGACGGCGGUGUUUGGCACCUCGAUGUCGGCUCAUCACAUCCUGGGGCUGAAGUCGGUCCCAAGGGUAUGGCUGUUCGCCAUUUAAAGUGGUACGCGAGCUGGGUUUAGAACGUCGUGAGACAGUUCGGUCCCUAUCUGCCGUGGGCGUUGGAAGAUUGAAGGGGGCUGCUCCUAGUACGAGAGGACCGGAGUGGACGAACCUCUGGUGUUCGGGUUGUGUCGCCAGACGCAUUGCCCGGUAGCUAAGUUCGGAAUCGAUAACCGCUGAAAGCAUCUAAGCGGGAAGCGAGCCCUGAGAUGAGUCUUCCCUGAUACUUUAAGUAUCCUAAAGGGUUGUCGGAGACUACGACGUUGAUAGGUCAGGUGUGUAAGUGCUGUGAGGCAUUGAGCUAACUGAUACUAAUUGCCCGUGAGGCUUAACCAUACAACACCCAAGGGGUUU